Long non-coding RNA from Pygocentrus nattereri (red-bellied piranha), 576 nucleotides. RefSeq lists it as uncharacterized. The record is from RefSeq and is a predicted model, not a curated record. The transcript has 2 exons. Lineage: Eukaryota; Metazoa; Chordata; Actinopteri; Characiformes; Serrasalmidae.
AGUGUUUUGUAGGUGUACAAAAACCCCCCUCAGUCCAGCUGCACAGAGACUGCACUCUCACACUCAUCAGUUUUUAGUAGGAGAUCAUAUUCAGAGUGCAGAACUUCCCAAGAGUCUAACUGGACGUGAUGGACACAGUGGUCAGCAGCAGUUGGUGUGCUGUGAGACAGAGUGACCCACCAUGGAGUCUGACAGGCAGACUGACCAGCAAGGAGAGCCACAGCCCACCUCAGCCCCUCCCAGCAGCCUCCUGGAGCUCCACCCUCCCACACUGAUCAAUAAAACUCCCACUACUGAUCCUGGAGUGUGGAGCUGGGAGGCGUGCAGGAACGCUGCUGUGAUGUUUCUCACUGGCCAUGUUCCUGCUGGACCAUUACUCUCUGUACACUGUGAUAAAGAGCCCAGGAGAAUCAGCUGGAGCUUCAUUCCCCACUGCACUUAUUACACUGUUUAUACUCCCAUUACUUCCCUCAGAAGAACCUCACUACAUGGUCUUCUACAGGACCAUCCCAUGCCAUGUCAUGAAGUAGUUCAUAGUCCAGAUUAAAGUGUGUUUUGGAUCGUUGUUGUUUCAGA